RNAcentral lists this ribosomal RNA (424 nucleotides) under Verrucomicrobiota bacterium. Its description in RNAcentral is "Verrucomicrobia bacterium partial 16S ribosomal RNA". It matches the Rfam family "Bacterial small subunit ribosomal RNA", at positions 355 to 776 of the family's 1533-position model. The record is from RNAcentral. Lineage: Bacteria; Pseudomonadati; Verrucomicrobiota.
UGGGGAAUAUUGGUCAAUGGACGGAAGUCUGAACCAGCCAAGUAGCGUGCAGGAUGACGGCCCUAUGGGUUGUAAACUGCUUUUAUACGGGGAUAAAGUUAGGGACGUGUCCCUAUUUGCAGGUACCGUAUGAAUAAGGACCGGCUAAUUCCGUGCCAGCAGCCGCGGUAAUACGGAAGGUCCGGGCGUUAUCCGGAUUUAUUGGGUUUAAAGGGAGCGUAGGCCGUAGAUUAAGUGUGUUGUGAAAUGUAGACGCUCAACGUCUGACUUGCAGCGCAUACUGGUUUACUUGAGUUUGCACAACGUUGGCGGAAUUCGUCGUGUAGCGGUGAAAUGCUUAGAUAUGACGAAGAACUCCGAUUGCGAAGGCAGCUUGCGGGAGCAAAACUGACGCUGAAGCUCGAAAGUGCGGGUAUCGAACAGG